UGGGGAAUAUUGCACAAUGGGCGCAAGCCUGAUGCAGCAACGCCGCGUGAAUGAAGAAGGUCUUCGGAUCGUAAAGUUCUUUUCUUAGGGAAGAAACCAUGACGGUACCUAAGGAAUAAGCACCGGCUAACUACGUGCCAGCAGCCGCGGUAAUACGUAGGGUGCAAGCGUUAUCCGGAAUCACUGGGCGUAAAGGGUGCGUAGGCGGUCUGACAAGUCAGGAGUGAAAGGCAGUGGCUCAACCAUUGUAAGCUUUUGAAACUGUCGGACUUGAAUGCAGGAGGGGCAAGUGGAAUUCCUAGUGUAGCGGUGAAAUGCGUAGAUAUUAGGAGGAACACCAGUGGCGAAGGCGACUUGCUGGACUGUAAUUGACGCUGAGGCACGAAAGCGUGGGGAGCAAACAGG
RNAcentral lists this ribosomal RNA (405 nucleotides) under uncultured Fusibacter sp. RNAcentral's name for it is "bacterial SSU rRNA". It matches the Rfam family "Bacterial small subunit ribosomal RNA", at positions 355 to 776 of the family's 1533-position model. The record is from RNAcentral. Lineage: Bacteria; Bacillati; Bacillota; Clostridia; Eubacteriales; Fusibacteraceae.